Molecule: long non-coding RNA, 214 nt
Filed under: Mytilus galloprovincialis (Mediterranean mussel)
Lineage: Eukaryota; Metazoa; Mollusca; Bivalvia; Mytilida; Mytilidae
Source: RNAcentral
ACUGCUGGCGCUCGUGUUGGUCGGAAGAAAUAUACAAUAUGAUUGGGGACCUUCUCAAUGAGUACAAAAACUGAACAUUUUUGUUACCUGUUUGGGCGUGUUUGAUACCGCUGAGACAAAUCUGUAACAAUUGUAUUUAUUAGAGUACGCAGGAGAAGAUCAAAUUAUUUGUUUAAGAACCAGAAAAGAUUCAAUAAAUACAUUUUUAGACAAA